AUUGAACGCUGGCGGCAGGCCUAACACAUGCAAGUCGAGCGGACGAAGGGAGCUUUCUCCUGGAUUCAGCGGCGGACGGGUGAGUAAUGCCUAGGAAUCUGCCUGGUCGUGGGGGAUAACGUCCGGUAACGGGCGCUAAUACCGCACACGUCCUGAUGGUGAAAGGGGGGGAUCUUCGGACCUCACGCUAUUUGCUGAGCCUAGGUCGGAUUAGCUAGUUGGUGGGGUAAAGGCCUACCAAGGCGACGAUCCGUAACUGGUCUGAGAGGAUGAUCAGUCACACUGGAACUGAGACACGGUCCAGACUCCUACGGGAGGCAGCAGUGGGGAAUAUUGGACAAUGGGCGAAAGCCUGAUCCAGCCAUGCCGCGUGUGUGAAGAAGGUCUUCGGAUUGUAAAGCACUUUAAGUUGGGAGGAAGGGCAGUAAGUUAAUACCUUGCUGUUUUGACGUUACCAACAGAAUAAGCACCGGCUAACUUCGUG
This 484-nucleotide ribosomal RNA is filed under the name uncultured bacterium. RNAcentral's name for it is "partial 16S ribosomal RNA". It matches the Rfam family "Bacterial small subunit ribosomal RNA", at positions 30 to 507 of the family's 1533-position model. The record is from RNAcentral.